UCCUGGCUUAGGACGAACGCUGGCGGCGCGCCUAACACAUGCAAGUCGAACGAGAGAGAGGGAGCUUGCUCUCCUCAAUCGAGUGGCGAACGGGUGAGUAACGCGUGAGGAACCUGCCUCAAAGAGGGGGACAACAGUUGGAAACGACUGCUAAUACCGCAUAAGCCCACAGCUCGGCAUCGAGCAGAGGGAAAAGGAGCAAUCCGCUUUGAGAUGGCCUCGCGUCCGAUUAGCUGGUUGGUGAGGUAACGGCCCACCAAGGCGACGAUCGGUAGCCGGACUGAGAGGUUGAACGGCCACAUUGGGACUGAGACACGGCCCAGACUCCUACGGGAGGCAGCAGUGGGGAAUAUUGCACAAUGGGGGAAACCCUGAUGCAGCGACGCCGCGUGGAGGAAGAAGGUCUUCGGAUUGUAAACUCCUGUUGUUGAGGAAGAUAAUGACGGUACUCAACAAGGAAGUGACGGCUAACUACGUGCCAGCAGCCGCGGUAAAACGUAGGUCACAAGCGUUGUCCGGAAUUACUGGGUGUAAAGGGAGCGCAGGCGGGAAGACAAGUUGGAAGUGAAAUCUAUGGGCUCAACCCAUAAACUGCUUUCAAAACUGUUUUUCUUGAGUAGUGCAGAGGUAGGCGAAUUCCCGGUGUAGCGGUGGAAUGCGUAGAUAUCGGGAGGAACACCAGUGGCGAAGGCGCCUACUGGGCACCAACUGACGCUGAGGCUCGAAAGUGUGGGUAGCAAACAGGAUUAGAUACCCUGGUAGUCCACACCGUAAACGAUGAUUACUAGGUGUUGGAGGAUUGACCCCUUCAGUGCCGCAGUUAACACAAUAAGUAAUCCACCUGGGGAGUACGACCGCAAGGUUGAAACUCAAAGGAAUUGACGGGGGCCCGCACAAGCAGUGGAGUAUGUGGUUUAAUUCGACGCAACGCGAAGAACCUUACCAAGUCUUGACAUCCUGCGACGGACAUAGAAAUAUGUGUUUCCUUCGGGACGCAGAGACAGGUGGUGCAUGGUUGUCGUCAGCUCGUGUCGUGAGAUGUUGGGUUAAGUCCCGCAACGAGCGCAACCCUUACUGUCAGUUACUACGCAAGAGGACUCUGGCAGGACUGCCGUUGACAAAACGGAGGAAGGUGGGGAUGACGUCAAAUCAUCAUGCCCUUUAUGACUUGGGCUACACACGUACUACAAUGGCGUUAAACAAAGAGAAGCAAGACCGCGAGGUGGAGCAAAACUCAGAAACAACGUCCCAGUUCGGACUGCAGGCUGCAACUCGCCUGCACGAAGUCGGAAUUGCUAGUAAUCGUGGAUCAGCAUGCCACGGUGAAUACGUUCCCGGGCCUGUACACACCGCCCGUC
Molecule: ribosomal RNA, 1358 nt
Filed under: uncultured bacterium
Lineage: Bacteria
Description: 16S ribosomal RNA
Rfam family: Bacterial small subunit ribosomal RNA
Source: RNAcentral